Biomphalaria pfeifferi is the source of this 409-nucleotide non-coding RNA. Lineage: Eukaryota; Metazoa; Mollusca; Gastropoda; Planorbidae. The record is from the annotation of a GenBank genome assembly.
ACUAGGUCAUCAAGAGCUCCACUGUCCAUAUAACUAGGUCAUCAAGAGCUCCACUGCCCAUAUAACUAGGUCAUGAACAGCUCUGCUGUCCAUGAUCCAUACUCUUAACACUUACCGAAAUACCCAAUGAAAGGCUCAUGAUUCAAUGUGCUGGAAAUAUGUUUCCACAAUCUUUGCAAUUCAUGUUUUGAUUUUGUGCCUGUCUUCAUGCCAUUUCUUUCUAAAUUUCUAUUUUAUCAACAUAAUUUAACAACUUAUACAAUUUAUAUUCUCAAUUAGCAUUGUUUCAUAUUUAUAUAUAUAUCUACAUACUAUUAUACAUUUAUGUCAUUUUUCAACCCACAUUUUCUUUCCAAUUUCUUUGACAAUAUUUGAACAAAUUGUAUGAAAUAAAAUGUAUGCCCUGCAA